UACGUAGGGGGCUAGCGUUGCUCGGAAUCACUGGGCGUAAAGCGCACGUAGGCGGGUUGCCAAGUCGGGGGUGAAAUCCUGGAGCUCAACUCCAGAACUGCCUUCGAUACUGGCGAUCUUGGAGUCCGGGAGAGGUGAGUGGAACUGCGAGUGUAGAGGUGAAAUUCGUAGAUAUUCGGAAGAACACCAGUGGCGAAGGCGGCUCACUGGCCCGGUACUGACGCUGAUAUGCGAAAGCGUGGGGAGCAAACAGG
This 254-nucleotide ribosomal RNA is filed under the name uncultured bacterium. Its description in RNAcentral is "partial 16S ribosomal RNA". It matches the Rfam family "Bacterial small subunit ribosomal RNA", at positions 524 to 776 of the family's 1533-position model. The record is from RNAcentral.